Molecule: ribosomal RNA, 253 nt
Filed under: uncultured bacterium
Lineage: Bacteria
Description: partial 16S ribosomal RNA
Rfam family: Bacterial small subunit ribosomal RNA
Source: RNAcentral
UACGUAGGGGGCAAGCGUUGUCCGGAAUCAUUGGGCGUAAAGCGCGCGUUGGCGGCCCGGUAAGUCCGUUGUAAAAGUCGAAGGCUCAACCUUCGAAAGCCGAUGGAUACUGCCGGGCUAGAGUCCGGAAGAGGCGAGUGGAAUUCCUGGUGUAGCGGUGAAAUGCGCAGAUAUCAGGAGGAACACCGGUGGCGAAGGCGGAUCUCUGGGCCUUACCUGACGCUCAGGCGCGAAAGCUAGGGGAGCGAACAGG